CGAGUGGCGACGGGUGAGGAAUACGUCGGAAUCUACUCUGUCGUGGGGGAUAACGUAGGGAAACUUACGCUAAUACCGCAUACGACCUACGGGUGAAAGCAGGGGAUCUUCGGACCUUGCGCGAUUGAAUGAGCCGAUGUCGGAUUAGCUAGUUGCGGGUAAAGGCCCACCAAGGCGACGAUCCGUAGCUGGUCUGAGAGGAUGAUCAGUCACACUGGAACUGAGACACGGUCCAGACUCCUACGGGAGGCAGCAGAG
Molecule: ribosomal RNA, 258 nt
Filed under: uncultured Stenotrophomonas sp.
Lineage: Bacteria; Pseudomonadati; Pseudomonadota; Gammaproteobacteria; Lysobacterales; Lysobacteraceae
Description: partial 16S ribosomal RNA
Rfam family: Bacterial small subunit ribosomal RNA
Source: RNAcentral